CAGCAGCCGCGGUAAUACGUAGGUCCCGAGCGUUGUCCGGAUUUAUUGGGCGUAUAGCGAGCGCAGGCGGUUAGAUAAGUCUGAAGUUAAAGGCUGUGGCUUAACCAUAGUACGCUUUGGAAACUGUUUAACUUGAGUGCAAGAGGGGAGAGUGGAAUUCCAUGUGUAGCGGUGAAAUGCGUAGAUAUAUGGAGGAACACCGGUGGCGAAAGCGGCUCUCUGGCUUGUAACCGACGCUGAGGCUCGAAAGCGUGGGGAGCAAACAGGAUUAGAUACCCCCGUAGUCCCUGUCUCUUAUACA
Molecule: ribosomal RNA, 301 nt
Filed under: uncultured bacterium
Lineage: Bacteria
Description: partial 16S ribosomal RNA
Rfam family: Bacterial small subunit ribosomal RNA
Source: RNAcentral